This 459-nucleotide ribosomal RNA is filed under the name uncultured bacterium. RNAcentral describes it as "bacterial SSU rRNA". It matches the Rfam family "Bacterial small subunit ribosomal RNA", at positions 36 to 507 of the family's 1533-position model. The record is from RNAcentral.
CUGGCGGCGCGCUUAACACAUGCAAGUCGAACGGUGAACCAGAGCUUGCUCUGGGGAUCAGUGGCGAACGGGUGAGUAACACGUGGGCAACCUGCCCCAGACUCUGGGAUAACCUCGGGAAACCGAUGGCUAAUACCGGAUACGACCACUUCGGACAUCCGACGGUGGUGGAAAGUUUUUCGGUCUGGGAUGGGCCCGCGGCCUAUCAGCUAGUUGGUGGGGUAAUGGCCUACCAAGGCGACGACGGGUAGCCGGCCUGAGAGGGCGACCGGCCACACUGGAACUGAGACACGGUCCAGACUCCUACGGGAGGCAGCAGUGGGGAAUAUUGCACAAUGGGCGAAAGCCUGAUGCAACGACGCCGCGUGAGGGACGACGGCCUUCGGGUUGUAAACCUCUUUCAGCAGGGACGAAGCGAAAGUGACUGUACCUGCAGAAGAAGCACCAGCUAACUACGUG